CCUACGGGAGGCUGCAGUGAGGAAUAUUGCACAAUGGGGGAGACCCUGAUGCAGCGACGCCGCGUGAGUGAAGAAGUAUCUCGGUACGUAAAGCUCUAUCAGCAGGGAAGAAAAUGACGGUACCUGACUAAGAAGCUCCGGCUAACUACGUGCCAGCAGCCGCGGUAAUACGGAGGGGGCGAGCGUUAUCCGGAUUUACUGGGUGUAAAGGGAGCGUAGACGGCAGCACAAGUCUGGAGUGAAAUCCCGGGGCUUAACCCCGGAACUGCUUUGGAAACUGUGCGGCUGGAGUGCAGGAGGGGUAAGCGGAAUUCCUGGUGUAGCGGUGAAAUGCGUAGAUAUUAGGAGGAACACCGGUGGCGAAGGCGGCUUACUGGACUGUAACUGACGUUGAGGCUCGAAAGCGUGGGGAGCAAACAGGAUUAGAUACCCGUGUAGUC
This 440-nucleotide ribosomal RNA is filed under the name uncultured bacterium. RNAcentral describes it as "partial 16S ribosomal RNA". It matches the Rfam family "Bacterial small subunit ribosomal RNA", at positions 338 to 795 of the family's 1533-position model. The record is from RNAcentral.